GGGGUAAAAUUAAUAAUUUAGUAAAUAAUAAAAAAAAUUUUAAUAUUAAAAUAAUUUAAUGGGGGUUAAAGUAUUUUAAUAGAAAAAAUUUAAAUUUUUAUAGUGAAAUAGUAUUGUGAAAGAAUUUUGAAAUAUUUUGAAAUUAAAUUUAUUAAAAAGUAAAUUUUAUUUAUUGUAUCUUGGGUAUCAGAGUUUAUUAAAAAUUUUUUAUUGGGGUUAAAUUUCUCGAAUUUAAAAGAGAUAAUUAAUUAAAAAAGUUAUUGUUGUAUAAAUAUUUUUAAUAAUUAAUUUGAAAUGAAAUGUUAAUCGUUUUUAAAUAUAUCUAGUUUUUUUAGAAAAAAAUUUAAUUUUUAAUUUUAGUUUAAAAUUUAUUAAUUAAUUUAAUUUAUUUUAAUAUAAAAUUUUAUAUUUUAAGGGAUAAGCUUUAAAUUAAACUUUUAUAAUAAUUUUUAUUAAUUUAAAAUUUUUAUAAUUUAUAUUGUUAAUAAAUUAUAUUUUAUUAUAAAUAAUUUUAUAAAAUAUAAAAUUUAAUUAUUAUUUAAUUUUUUAUAAAAAAAUAAAUUGUAAUAUUUUAUAUUUAAAUAUUAUGAUAAAAUUAGUAUAUAAAAAAAUAAUAAAUUAAUAAUUAUUAAUUUUAUUUAAAAUUAAUUUAAAGGAAUUCGGCAAAAUUUUAUAUUCACUUGUUUAUCAAAAACAUGUCUUUUUGUAAAUAAUUUAAAGUCUAAUCUGCCCACUGAUAAUAAUUAAAGGGCUGCAGUAUUUUGACUGUACAAAGGUAGCAUAAUCAUUAGUCUCUUAAUUGGUGACUUGUAUGAAGGAUUGGAUGAAAUAUAUACUGUCUUUAAUUUAUAUUAUUGAAUUUAAUUUUUUAGUUAAAAAGCUCAAAUAAAUUAAAAAGACGAGAAGACCCUAUAGAGUUUUAUAAUUUUUAUACAUUAAUUUUAUUUAUAAAUUUUUUUUUAUUUUUAAUUUAUGAAAAUUAUUUUAUUGGGGUGAUAAAAAAAUUAAAUAAACUUUUUUUAAAAAAUUUCAUUAAUAAAUGAAUAAAUGAUCCAAUUUUAUUGAUUAUAAGAUUAAAUUACCUUAGGGAUAACAGCGUAAUUUUUUUUUUUAGUUCAAAUAAAAAAAAAAGUUUGCGACCUCGAUGUUGGAUUAAGAUAAAAUUUAUAUGCAAAAGUAUAAAAUUUUGAUCUGUUCGAUCAUUAAAAUCUUACAUGAUCUGAGUUCAAACCGGUGUAAGCCAGGUUGGUUUCUAUCUUUUAAAAAAAAAAUAUUUUAGUACGAAAGGAUUAAAUAUUUUAAUUAAAUUAUUAGUAAUUGAAUUUUAUUAAUUUUCAUAUAAUUUUUUAUAUUAAAUU
This 1358-nucleotide ribosomal RNA is filed under the name Mustilizans hepatica. RNAcentral describes it as "16S ribosomal RNA". Lineage: Eukaryota; Metazoa; Arthropoda; Insecta; Lepidoptera; Endromidae. The record is from RNAcentral.